CUAAAACUUUACUACGAGGCAGCAUGUUUCACCUGGCUAAAAGAUUGGUGCACGUUGCAGGAUUCGGACCUCCUCGACCUGGAAGGUUUUGACAACCGUUGGGGAUGGCACACCUACCUAAUAUAUGGAAAAGCGAAAAUUCAUAAAAACUUUACCAACCAUAUAAUAAGAAAGUCACUCUUUGCUGUAUGGGAAAAAUAUAAAGACCUGAUGGAGCCUAAAGUCCCGUGGUGGACUUCUCCAGUAGAAGCCAUAGCAGUAAAACGGAAAAAUACUCAGGAAAGCUGGCCAACAUAUAAAAUACUUCUAAAAAAUGAAGAUAACCAAAUAAAAUUUAAAAACUUUGAGGAAAUAAGAGACCACAUUUCAGACUGGUUCCAAUACCAUCAGUUAUUUGAAAAAUUUAAAUCUGACAAACAAAAGGGGUUCUCAACAGAAAUUUCCCGAUUCGAAUCUGAUCUUCUAAAUUCUAAAAGAAAAACUCUUUCCAAAACUUACCGACUCCUCCUUGACUGUCCAGUCAAGGAGGAGUAGGUAACAGUGGCAAUGGUGAGGUGGUCCCAGGAUUUUGGCCACUCAAUAACCAUGGCCCAAUGGGAAAAUUUAUGGAAGAUCAAUUGGAAAUUCACAAAUUGUUACACGAUUAGAGAGAACUUUCAAAAAAUGCAACAUCGAUGGUAUCUAACACCAUGGAAGCUUUCAAAAAUGUAUAAAAAUGUAUCAAGUAAUUGUUGGAGAUGCGGAGACUCAGGAACAUUCUACCAUAUGUGGUGGAUAUGUAGGAAAAUACAGGUAUUCUGGGAGAGUAUACAUGCAGAACUGCAAAAAAUGCUAAAGAUCUCUUUCAAUAAAAAACCAGAGGCCUACCUCCUGGGAAUAACAGAUUUGGAUAUUCCACAAAAGAGGAAGGGUAUCUUUUUAUAUGCGACGGUGGCAGCAAGAGUUUUGAUCGCAGCAAAAUGGAAGAGUAAUGAAAUCCCCUCUAUUCAAGAAUGGAUCCAAAAGCUGACAGAAUAUGCUGAAUUAGAUGGUUUAUCAG
Non-coding RNA from Podarcis lilfordi (Lilford's wall lizard), 1039 nucleotides. The record is from the annotation of a GenBank genome assembly. Lineage: Eukaryota; Metazoa; Chordata; Lepidosauria; Squamata; Lacertidae.